This 27-nucleotide non-coding RNA is filed under the name Cricetulus griseus (Chinese hamster). Lineage: Eukaryota; Metazoa; Chordata; Mammalia; Rodentia; Cricetidae. The record is from RNAcentral.
UUCGAAUCCCAUCCUCGUCGUGUGUAG